This 301-nucleotide ribosomal RNA is filed under the name uncultured bacterium. RNAcentral's name for it is "partial 16S ribosomal RNA". It matches the Rfam family "Bacterial small subunit ribosomal RNA", at positions 509 to 807 of the family's 1533-position model. The record is from RNAcentral.
CAGUCGCCGCGGGAAUACGGAGGGCGCGAGCGUUACCCGGAUUUACUGGGCGUAAAGGGCGUGUAGGCGGCCUGGGGCGUCCCAUGUGAAAGGCCACGGCUCAACCGUGGAGGAGCGUGGGAUACGCUCAGGCUAGAGGGUGGGAGAGGGUGGUGGAAUUCCCGGAGUAGCGGUGAAAUGCGCAGAUACCGGGAGGAACGCCGAUGGCGAAGGCAGCCACCUGGUCCACUUCUGACGCUGAGGCGCGAAAGCGUGGGGAGCAAACCGGAUUAGAGACCCCAGUAGUCCCUGUCUCUUAUAC